AUUGAACGCUGGCGGCAUGCCUUACACAUGCAAGUCGAACGGUAACGGGCCUUCGGGUGCCGUCGAGUGGCGAACGGGUGAGUGAUACAUCGGAACGUGCCCGAUCGUGGGGGAUAACGCUGCGACAGCUUUGCUAAUACCGCAUACGAUCUACGGAUGAAAGCAGGGGACCGCAAGGCCUUGCGCGGACGGAGCGGCCGAUGGCCGAUUAGGUAGUUGGUGGGAUAAAAGCUUACCAAGCCGACGGUCUGUAGCUGGUCUGAGAGGAUGAUCAGCCACACUGGGACUGAGAAACGGCCCAGACUCCUACGGGAGGCAGCAGUGGGGAAUUUUGGACAAUGGGCGCAAGCCUGAUCCAGCCAUGCCGCGUGCAGGAUGAAGGACUUCGGGUUGGAAACUGCUUUUGUACGGAACGAAAAGCCUUCUUUUAAUACAGGAGGGUAAUGACGGUACCGUAAGAAUAAGCACCGGCUAACUACGUG
This 482-nucleotide ribosomal RNA is filed under the name uncultured bacterium. Its description in RNAcentral is "partial 16S ribosomal RNA". It matches the Rfam family "Bacterial small subunit ribosomal RNA", at positions 30 to 507 of the family's 1533-position model. The record is from RNAcentral.